Molecule: ribosomal RNA, 243 nt
Filed under: uncultured bacterium
Lineage: Bacteria
Description: partial 16S ribosomal RNA
Rfam family: Bacterial small subunit ribosomal RNA
Source: RNAcentral
GCGGCGAACGGGUGAGUAACACGUGAGUAAUCUGCCCUCCACUUCGGGAUAAGCCUCGGAAACGGGGUCUAAUACCGAAUAUGACCACUUCAUGCAUGUGAUGGUGGUGGAAAGUUUUUCGGUGGGGGAUGUGCUCGCGGCCUAUCAGCUUGUUGGUGGGGUAAUGGCCUACCAAGGCUUCGACGGGUAGCCGGCCUGAGAGGGUGACCGGCCACACUGGGACUGAGACACGGCCCAGACUCC